Long non-coding RNA from Mus musculus (house mouse), 7259 nucleotides. RefSeq annotates it as predicted gene, 53922. NCBI's taxonomy places the organism in Eukaryota, Metazoa, Chordata, Mammalia, Rodentia, Muridae. The record is from RefSeq and is a predicted model, not a curated record. The transcript is spliced from 2 exons.
AAUAAGCCCAAGUAACUUGCUGGUUCAGUAAGCUGGACUCAGUGGGACUUUGGUCUGUCAUGGUGCCCUAGCUGGGGUGAGUAGACAUUUUUCAGGCCUCUCCAGGAAUCAUUCAUAUAGCUGGGGUUAAACAAAAAUGCUGUGUUGCAGCGUCACACGGGAGCACCUGCGUGCCACUGAGCAACGACUGCCUCACUGCAGGUCCAGUGACAGCACACAAUCUCCGCAGCAACCGAUCAGCCGCCACCACUGCACCAACAUGAUCACAAGACAAUGUGUAAGCAAGGGUGGCUAAACUCCAACAGCAUUUUGCUCAGAUGGAAAGGAGAGCUCUGGUCUUGCUGCUUGGAUUCCAGUUCAAGAGGCAAGUGGGAGACCUAACACAGCCAAGACUCAGCUGGAACUGAGGUGGAGUUUGUAGCUGGUGGUCCACAUGAAAGCUGUACAACUCCCCCCAACACACACACCACCAUCCCUGCCGCCCAGCCACCGCUAGCAUGGCCCCUGCAUUUUGAGUUCCUCCAAUCUCUGCAAAUGCUAAGGCCACUGUGAUUGCAUGAGUGGCAGGGGAGGCCUAUUCUUCCACUACCCAACCUCCCACGAGAAAACAGACACUGUGGAACAUGUACCCUAUCCAGGUGAGAACUGGUGGACUCGGUGUAAGCCGCAACUCAGCCAUCUCCAGCCCUGCACUCGGCUGGUGGCAAUGGCACUCACUAGGCCAGGUUCAUGCCACAAAAGGCAUCUCCUGGGUGCAGAGGUGUUGUAAACCUACCUGGGGAGAUCACAGCUAUUACUGGCACAAGUCUGCCUUCCAGGUAGAAAGCUGUCCUUGUGGUUCUGCUGCCUGGAGGCUGUCCACCCAUCUUUUUGGGGAUUUUUUUGUUUUUUUGUUUUUGUUUUGUUUUUUCAAGACAGGGUUUCUCUGUAUAGCCCUGGCUGUCCUGGAACUCACUUUGUAGACCAGGCCGGCCUCCAACUCAGAAAUCCGCCUGCCUCUGCCUCCCGAAUGCUGGGUUUAAAGGCGUGCGCCACCACGCCCGGCUGUUCCAUCUAUCUUAACAUCAUCAUCCAUUGUGGUCUCAAUGCACCCAGGCCGUUGUAAGCUAUGUACUUACUCAGAGCACAGACUCUCUCACCCUUACAAUUUACUUAUGAGAAGAGAUAUGUUGAAAUAAGAAGGGAGUAGCCCUGCAGCAAGCUGAACAGGACAUGGGACAGACACAUCUGCAAAGCUAACUCCUCAGAGAGGACAACGGCAGAGACUGGCCUUGCUGCUUUUAAAUCUCCAAAGCUUCCCUGAUGUCACUGUCUACUCAUAGCUUAAAAAACUAUGGGACUGAGGUAGCAUGGUUGGGGGAGAGGGGUGAAGUGCUGACUCUGUAAGUGUGAGGGCAAGACUCCCAACCCCAGAAACCAUGUGCAUACCAAGUGCAGGGGUCUGUGAUCCUUACACUGGGGGAUGGGGUGAGAGUGUGGGAAGGGGACAGACAGCUGGAUCCCUGGCUGUCCAGCUAGUCUAACCACAAAAGCAAGCCCCACAUUCAGAGAAAGACACAGUUUCAAAAUAUGGUGGUCAGCAAUAGAGGGAAAUAUGCUGUUAACCUCUGACAUGAGCAUCUACACACAUGUGUGUGGGCACACACACACACACACACAUCCCUGUGCAUGUGUGGGCAUGAGCACCUGCACACAGAUGUGUGGGCACACACAAGUACCCCACUCACACACAUAGACAUAUUUUCUGUGAUUAAAUCAGGCAUUUCUCUGAAGGCUGCAGUGAGUGAGGGACUGUGAAUGACCACUGGACACAGAAUUCCCAGGUCCUAAUAACAUUGCUGGUUAAAAAAAAAAAAAAAUCAGUGUGGCCUACCUAGCAUAGUGACAUGCACCUUUAAUCCCAGCUCCCAGGAGGCAAAAACAGGCAGAUCUCUGUGAGUUUGAGGCCAGCCUACUCUGAUAGCAAGUUCUAGGACAGCCAGAGAUACACAGUAAGACCUUGUCCAAAAAAAAAAAAAAAAGGCAGUGCUGGUUCUUACAGUCACAGACAGAGAUGAGAAGGCCAAGGGAACUAACAAAACCCCAAAAGCCAAUGGCAUCCCCAACUGCAAAAUGGAUGCUGUGCAGUAGCGAAGCCAGUUACCACAGCUGUGUGGUAGGGAAGUCAGUUAACACAGCUGUGUGGUAGUGAAGCCAGUUACCACAGCUGUGUAGUGGGGAAGCUAGUUACCACAGCUGUGUGCUAGGGAAGACAGUUACCACAGCUGUGUAGUGGGGAAGCUAGCUACCACAGCUGUGUGCUAAGAAGACAGCUACCACAGCUGUGUGCUAGGGAAGCCAGUUACCACAGCUGUGUGCUAGGGAAGCCAGUUACCACAGCUGUGUGCUAGGGAAGCCAGUUACCACAGCUGUGUGCUAGGGAAGCCAGUUACCACAGCUGUGUGGUGGGGAAGCUAGCUACCACAGCUGUGUGCUAGGGAAGCCAGUUACCACAGCUGUGUGGUGGGGAAGACAGUUACCACAGCUGUGUGCUAGGGAAGCCAGUUACCACAGCUGUGUGCUAGGGAAGCUAGCUACCACAGCUGUGUGCUAGGGAAGCCAGUUACCACAGCUGUGUGGUGGGGAAGCUAGCUACCACAGCUGUGUGCUAGGGAAGCUAGCUACCACAGCUGUGUGCUAGGGAAGACAGUUACCACAGCUGUGUGCUAGGGAAGACAGUUACCACAGCUGUGUGGUGGGGAAGCUAGCUACCACAGCUGUGUGGUGGGGAAGACAGUUACCACAGCUGUGUGCUAGGGAAGCCAGUUACCACAGCUGUGUGCUAGGGAAGACAGUUACCACAGCUGUGUGGUGGGGAAGCUAGUUGCCACAGCUGUGUGCUGGGGAAGACAGUUACCACAGCUGUGUGCUAGGGAAGACAGUUACCACAGCUGUGUGCUAGGGAAGCUAGCUACCACAGCUGUGUGGUGGGGAAGCUAGUUACCACAGCUGUGUGCUAGGGAAGACAGUUACCAAAGCUGUGUGCGAGGGAAGUCAGUUACCACAGCUGUGUGCUAGGUAAGUCAGUUACCACAGCUGUGUAGUGGGGAAGCCAGUUACCACAGCUGUGUGCUAGGGAAGCCAGUUACCACAGCUGUGUGGUGGGGAAGCUAGUUACCACAGCUGUGUGGUGGGGAAGCUAGUUACCACAGCUGUGUGGUAGUGAAGCUAGUUACCACAGCUGUGUGGUGGGGAAGCUAGUUACUACAGCUGAUACCCAGCCAGGCUGCAGAGAGGCUGCAGGCUGCUCAGUACUCAGCUAGUUCCAGUAUGGUCAUGUGGAAAAUGCAGGUUUCACUCAUGCCACAGAUCCAUGCUACCUAUACACAAGGCAUGUGCACAUGUGCCAAGACCCUUAUUUGCAUCCACUCAUCGACACCUCACAAAGUGCCUCCCAUGAACACGGCAGGCAUGAGGAUGAAGAAGGGAUCUGCCAGGAGUCACUGGAGCUAAUGGGCACUAGCUAGGAUUUGAACCCAUCCCUGACUCCAGCUAAAGCCUGUAACUACGACACAAAUCUUCAGCCCAGGCCUUGGGGAGAGGAAAGUCCACUGGUUGCAAAAGGCCGGAGGACUGAGAUACAAGAAAGCAAACCCAGAUCAUUACUGGGAAAUACCCUGAACACAUCCUCCUCAUGGGACUUCUGACCACUACUGAUAAGAUGUCACGCCCAGCCACCUACCACCACAUUGGAAGAUCACCCAAGUAAUGUGUGUGCUUUGUGCUGUAUACACCUGAACGGCUGCCUUGCUUGCAAUACUGUGAUGCAAGCACAACUCAGCUGUCUUGUGUGUGCAAACAGUAAAAGCCCCUUUUAGGAUGCUCUUGAUUGGCUGCACGCCUCUCCUUGCUCUCUAGUCAUGCCUAGCUGCAGGUUCAGAACCUUAGCAAGAUUUUCUAAAAAGAUGACCUGACUUCACGCCAACGUCAUGAAUCAAACACUGAGUGGGGCUUGUGUGCUUCUGCAAAGACCUCUGACCUGCGUUUAGGCCUGUAGGUACCCAUGUGACAGUUCGGUGAGAUCACGAGUUGAUCAAAACCACCCUUUCCCCACUAAGUAAGAAAGGUGCCCCAGGAUGCCAGCACUGCCUACCCUGUACCCCUCGGCUACUUCCCAGCAUAUACCUUGGGUUUAAACACAAAGCCAUUUCACGUGAGUGGUUCAUUUCCAAAGGAGUUCAUCAACCCAUCUUACCCAACCUGCAUAGGUGCUACUCUACAAUGGCUAGUAACUGUAUCCUAAAAAGCCAACACUUCCAGUAGCUGGAGAUGGCUCAGCAAUUAAAUACUGGUUGUUUCCCUAGAGGUCCUGAGUUCAGUUUCCAGACCAAUACAGUGGCUCACAACCAUCUGUAAUGGGACCCAAUGCCCUCUUCCUAUGUCUGUUUUAUAAAAAGCCAACACUUCCAGCCUUGGGCGGGCUCUACUAUGUUAUGCCUCUUCUCUCGUGGGCCGAGGCAGGGUGCCCACUACCCAACAGUCGUCAGACUCUGCCCGACGUGCUCAGCCUCUUCAUUCUACAGGCUUCAGGCAAAGAAUUAGGGGAUGGCUGAAGGGAUUUAAGAUUACAGUAAGAUAAAAACCCAAUGGUAACAAUCUUCCAAAAUAUAUUGGAACAAUCAUCAAGCCAACUACUGUUCUCCAGACAGGUAGCAAGGUCUGCUUGGUGCUUUUGGAAUGCCCAACCUGAAAGAUCCCAGAACAUUUUCCUAGGAUACUUAGCAAGCCGGUCUCCACCCCACCUCCAGGCCCCUCACCUCACGUGUUCAGAGCCCUGAUCCUCCGUGGAAGCCCCAACAUGGUGAUUUCUGCGUCUUCAUCAUGGGUUCGUGCUAUCUCUGUCCCACACUCAAGGGUGAAGCUGCCUUAUUAGCUAGCAUGACUCCUUUCUGAGCACUGUUCCUUGAGAACCCAGCCCAGUCUAGCUAGGGUAGGUCAGAGAGCUGGGUCAAAGACACGAGUGUAGCCCACCCAUCUGGAUGGGGGCGGGACUGAGGUGAGAGCAAGCGGGGAAAGCGUCUACUACAGGAGCUCCAUACAGGAAGAAUGUAGGCCAGCGGCUCCCCACUGCUCUGAUGCUGAGACCCUUCACACAACGUCCCAUGUUGUGGUGCCCCCCCAACCAGAAAAUUAUUUGUAUUGUUACUUCUUAACUGUAACUUUGCUGUUAUGUGUUAAAGAUCUGUUACCCAAUGGUCUUAGGGGAUCCAUGAAAGGUCAUUCAACCCCAAAAGGAACCCCAGGUUGAGAGCCGCUGAUCCAGGCAGUCACUUUGUGUUUAUGCCAGUCUCCAGUUGGGGAAAAGCUUUGUGUCAAGAUUAAAGAGGACAGUGUGUUUGAAAGUGACCAAGUGCCUGUGUUGAGCCAAGGUUAAUGGUGCUACAACAGACCCGUCCUGACCCAGAGCAGCCUGGCUCCUUACCUCAGCUGCUGACACCCAGGACCUGGCAAAACAGGUAAGAGGAGCAGGAGCGCAGCUUGAGUCUGCACUGCAGACACAGCUGCCCUGCAGACAGCCUGGACCAUGGGAGCUGCACUCAGUCCACCAGUGCCACGCACAGCUUCCAUAUCCCCAGGCUGUCCUCACACACAACACAAAGAGGCUGGCCCUGCGUUUAGAAUGGACCAUUUGAUCUACUUACUGCACAUAGUCUCCAGACAAAACCAGACAUAAAAGAGGAGCCCGGAUUCUCAAGGCAAGUAUAGUAAAAGCGGGCCACUCAAACAGAGCUGGGGUCAAUUUAAAAUGCAGUGCUUCCCGCCCGUCUUUAUGUUAUGUGUCCCUCACUGUAAGAACAUGACAUUUAAUGACAUGUAAGUGGGAACCAAGGACAGUGACCAAGUUCUGAGGUCUUAGAUUACUGCAGCUUUGUUUAAAAUGAAAAAAAAAAAAAAAGUAGUUCUACUAUUUAUUAGGUAUAAGUAACUCUUGGGUAUGUUGUCCAAUAUCACAAAAUAUGCUUGUUACCUAACUAAAGCAGAGUCCUGUAGCCCAUGACAAAAGGCAGUUCUGCUCUGGUACACAAGCUCUGACUAUGAGCACAGUGUCCAGAAUCACAUUUGUUUCUUUUCUACCUAAGUUUCUUACCUUCUGAAGGCCACUCAACAGACCCUGUGCAGGCUAGCACUGAAAAGAGAGGGCUGUGGGUUAGAAACUGCCUCCGCACGGCAGGAUUCCGGGCUCUGCACAGGAAAGGGACAGAGCAGACUCAGGGAGAUGGCACUCAGUUCUGUCCUUCAUCCCCACAGGACAGGCCCCCACGUGCUCUCAACACAGAGACAGUACCACAGGGGAGCACAAAUCAACAUGAUAAUCACUCAGGUAAAGAAUCCAUUUUAAAAACCAAAUUAUCUGUUAAACCUCCAAUUUUUACUUUCAAAGACACUUGCAGCCAAUGUCUCUGUCUCACAAGUCUUUUCCCUUUACAUAGGCGACAGGAUUGUGCCUGCUUUACCUACCACACCCGGACCCGCUUCACUGCACACGAAGAUUGUUUUUUUACUGUUUACAUUUUUCCUUAAGUUAAUUUUUAAAAAAGCAUAGUAAAGACUCUGAGGACAAAUUAUUCAACUGUUUAUCAUACAUAAGACCGCAUGACUAUAAUACAAAGGGGGGUCUUUUUUCAUUUAACGUUACAAUAUACACAGCAAGUCUGGACUAGAUCUUACAAUCUGAACACAGGUAUUUAACCUCUCCAUGCUGUUUAUGUUUACAAUGCACAGAAGUCCUGUAACCAAACUGUGUAGUAAAGCACACAAAACUGGACUGUAACGUGACACGGUAUGCAGAAGCACUGGAUUGUGUGGCUCUCUUUACGUAAAUAUAGCUUUAAAAACUGCUUUCUUUUUUGGUGCUUGCUAAAAUGUGGCAACCAGCACAGAAAGAAAAAAAGAAUGACCUGAGCCACGUGGGGUGGGUGUGUGGCACCUGGGGCUCCGCAGCCACAGGCGCUGCGCCCUCCUGACAGUGCUGUGCUCAAGGUGAGGCCUCUGUACGGAAAUGCUCAUCAACUACCAAGCUCAAAACAAUCCACAGGCUUGACAUUUAAUUACAAAAUCAAUAUGGGUUUCCUGAUUAACACCUGAAGUGUCUGUGUUUAUAGAAACGGGGCUCUCUGAGUCUCCACUUGCACUCACAGAGCUUAGGCCUUUCUUUUGUUUACAUAUAAAAAACAAAAAAAAACCUGCUUUUGCUCAGAAACAAAAAAAAAAAAAAAAAA